AGUGAACGCUGGCGGUAGGCCUAACACAUGCAAGUCGAACGGCAGCACAGUAAGAGCUUGCCCUUACGGGUGGCGAGUGGCGGACGGGUGAGGAAUACAUCGGAAUCUACUUUUUCGUGGGGGAUAACGGAGGGAAACUUACGCUAAUACCGCAUACGACGUACGGGUGAAAGCAGGGGAUCUUCGGACCUUGCGCGACAGAAUGAGCCGAUGUCGGAUUAGCUAGUUGGCGGGGUAAAGGCCCACCAAGGCGACGAUCCGUAGCUGGUCUGAGCGGAUGAUCAGCCACACUGGAACUGAGACACGGUCCAGACUCCUACGGGAGGCAGCAGUGGGGAAUAUUGGACAAUGGGCGCAAGCCUGAUCCAGCCAUACCGCGUGGGUGAAGAAGGCCUUCGGGUUGUAAAGCCCUUUUGUUGGGAAAGAAAAGCAGCAGGUUAAUACCCCGCUGUUCUGACGGUACCCAAAGAAUAAGCACCGGCUAACUUCGUG
This 492-nucleotide ribosomal RNA is filed under the name uncultured bacterium. Its description in RNAcentral is "partial 16S ribosomal RNA". It matches the Rfam family "Bacterial small subunit ribosomal RNA", at positions 29 to 507 of the family's 1533-position model. The record is from RNAcentral.